AGAGUUUGAUCCUGGCUCAGAAUUAACGCUGGCGGCAUGCGUAACACAUGCAAGUCGUACGAGAAAGCCCCUUUCGGGGGGCAAGUAAAGUGGCGCACGGUGAGUAACGCGUGGGUAAUCUACCCCGGUCUGGGGGAUAACGCACCGAAAGGUGCGCUAAUACCGCAUGACCCGGCGGGUCUUUGGGCCCGUUGGAAAAGGUGGCCUCUACAUGUAAGCUACCGAACCGGGAUGAGCCCGCGUCCUAUUAGCUUGUUGGUGGGGUAAUGGCCCACCAAGGCGACGAUGGGUAGCUGGUCUGAGAGGACGGCCAGCCACACUGGAACUGGUACACGGUCCAGACUCCUACGGGAGGCAGCAGUGAGGAAUAUUGCGCAAUGGGGGAAACCCUGACGCAGCGAUGCCGCGUGAGUGAAGAAGGCCUUCGGGUCGUAAAGCUCUGUCAAACGGGAAGAAUAGCUCCGGGGCUAAUAUCCUCGGGGUGUGACGGUACCGUUGAAGGAAGCACCGGCUAACUCCGUGCCAGCAGCCGCGGUAAGACGGAGGGUGCGAGCGUUAUUCGGAUUUAUUGGGCGUAAAGGGUGUGCAGGCGGUCGGCCAAGUCUGAUGUGAAAGCCCGGGGCUUAACCUCGGAAGGGCGUUGGAAACUGGUCGACUUGAGUUCGGGAGAGGGAAGCGGAAUUCCGGGUGUAGAGGUGAAAUUCGUAGAUAUCCGGAGGAACACCGGUGGCGAAGGCGGCUUCCUGGACCGAAACUGACGCUGAGACACGAAAGCGUGGGGAGCAAACAGGAUUAGAUACCCUGGUAGUCCACGCGGUAAACGAUGGGCGCUAGGUGUGGGGGGUUUUUAAUCCCUCCGUGCCGCAGCUAACGCAUUAAGCGCCCCGCCUGGGGAGUACGGCCGCAAGGUUAAAACUCAAA
This 921-nucleotide ribosomal RNA is filed under the name uncultured bacterium. Its description in RNAcentral is "bacterial SSU rRNA". It matches the Rfam family "Bacterial small subunit ribosomal RNA", at positions 8 to 905 of the family's 1533-position model. The record is from RNAcentral.